ACGCUGUGGUUCUAACCUCCAGCUGAACCCAGAGGACGUUACCUCUCAGGGACAAUCAGGGGGGUCCCUCCGGUCUCAGGUGAGAUCCAGUGAUCCUGGUGGAAGAGGAAGAGGAAGAGGAGGAGGAGGACCAGGAUGAAGAUACCAGCGACAGAACAACGUAGAUGCCCUCUGUGACCCUGAGCUCCUUUAGGACCCUGAACGUUUAAUUUACUUUAAAGACUUUCACUGCAGUGAUAUAUAUAUAUAUAUAAAUACACUAUAUAAUACAUUUAUUUAAGACUAUGUAUACACACACUACUACAAGCUGCAGCAGUAGUUGAGGCUGAAUGUAGUUAAGUAAUUUAUACUCAUUAUUGUGUUGCUGUUGUAGUUUGAUAAACUAUUUAUAUAAAGUUAUGUCUAAUCCACUGGUUCCCAGUCUUGGGCCCAGUUCUCUCCCAAGAGCCAACAUGUAAAUAAGAGGAGUCGUGAAAUGAUUGAAGAAGAAACAGUAAAUCUGUAAAUAUUCAAAUCUGGAACGUGACGACAACACAGACGUCAAUAUUCAAAGUGUGAUAAGAUUUUAUUUGAUAAGAUUUUACUGUUUUAUAAUUUGGAUGAUUGACAUGUGACCGUCUGUGCAGUUUCCAACACAUCUGUUGUCCCACAUAGAGAAGACUGGAAUCUAUACAGUCCUGUGGGAAUUAACUAAAUACCAGAGAAGGGAGUGUGUGAGUCUGUGUGUGUGUCUGUGUUGUGUCUGUCAGUGUGUGUGUCUGUGUGUGUGGGUCCCUCUCCCUGGCAACAUGUGAAUGGGAUCAGCGACGGACCAAUAGAAUGUCAGAGGAGGAAGUUUCACGUCAAUGGGUUUUUGUCACUGGGGUCGACUCUGCUAAACUUAGACGUGAGAAACGUCUGUGACUCUUCACUCAGAAACAUAUCGAUGAAAACACCACGAUGAAGAUGUUUGAAAGCUUCAAUAAAAAACUUUUAUUCUUCUCAUUCUCGUUUUGUUUAUUGGAACAAUGACUAAUAUUAGAUAAAGAUCGAGAUCACACUCGCUUAUCGUGGACCUGUAGCUAGUUAGCUUAGCAUAAAGACUGGAAACGGGAGGUGUUGUUAUCUUGUUAAUUGUUGAGCUUCAGACACGUUGUUGGGCAGAUUUUGUUUUUCUACGCAAAGCAGCCGAAGUUUGUCACAAAAUUAGCUCGUUUGUCACGAGGUGGAAAAUAGAAUUUGCUGUAGUAAAGUUGGUAAAUCCAGCUACAAAAAAAAACUAAUUUGGCAAAACUGCCAAUUGGGAAACUUUACACAGUCCAACAUUCAAACUUAUAGUUCAGCUCUGCUGUUGUGGGUCAGUUCAAAUACUACAAGUAAAAGUACGUACAAAAGUAAGUAUCAAAAUAAAAAAGCUCAUUAUGCAGUAUAGGCUUCGAUAGUUUUUAUUAUAAGCAACUAUUACUGAAGUAUAUGUAAACAGUACUUUAGAGUCAUAUCUAGUGGGUGUUGUAUUCAGAUGUUUUAUGUUUUAAUAUACCUUUAAUCUGAAAAGUGACAUAAAAGUACAACAUUAGAGCAGAAGUGUCCUUUAGUGGACGUUUCUUUUAGUGGACAAAGCUCCUCUGGUGUUUCCACAUCAGUAACCGUCCUGCUGAUCUUCCACAAUGAGGCCGAACACCGAGGACGAGCAUCUGACCUCAUUUCGCUGAGGCACCAUGUGUCGUCCAUUGUUUUCCACUGAGGCAGAACAGCCUCACGUCUGUUUCCAGCCACCAGAGGGCAGAGGAGGAAACAAGGCCCCCCCCCCCAUCGGCAGAGGAGUCGACAGAGAAGUGGGACAUUCACCACCUGAACCCCAGUACCCCCAACCCCACUGUCGUGUUGACUCUGGUUGUCAUAACAACAUUCUGAUGACGAGGCCGAGGGAGGCGGGGGAGGGGGUAAGAGGAUACAGGAGGGAAAGGUCACAGGAAGUGUGUGGGCGACUGAUUAAACUUCAAACAUGACCUCAGUGAAUUGAAUUAUCACCUCCAGCAAACUGAUAUUUUCAACAACUUUAUUUCAGUCUCUUUAACCCCCCCCCCCCUCAAAUUAAAGUUCUUUAAAAGGCAUCAAAACACAACAAUCAACCAGGACACGUUUCUAAAAGCAGCAGUGACAGUGAGCACCGGACGUUUAGAGAAUACACUUUUAGGAAGUUACAUUUUGAAAAGAACAUUUUUGAUAAAAUCAUCAUCACCUCACGCCACGUUGAGUGAUCACAGAUUGAAGAGGAGCAGACUUAGUGUUAGUGAACCUUCAUCGGUUUCUCUGAAAGCUAUGAAACAAAAAGACUCUACGAUGAAGAACUGUUGCAUCGAGGACAAAUAAUCUGGUGUUUGCCUCUUUUCUACUUUAUCCAAUUUUCUUUUAACAGAUUAAAACUAAUCCAGGAAACCUGAUUCUACCCUGAACAGUGUCUGCAGGUUUUUCCCUUCAGGCUCCGUCCGCUGCCAACAACCAUCACAUCUCUUCUCUGGCAGCCGGACGCUCUCAGAACAACAUCUUCACCAACACAAAUCAAAGUUUGGGUGGAAAACAGGUUUUGAACUGGAUUCUUUCAUCUCCGCGAGGAAACGAUGCCCUUGUGUGUUGUUCAGAAGCUGGAAACCAGCAGCAUCGUCUCAGAGUCUUUGUUUUUCGUUCUGUGCCGACGGAGCAAACCCUGAAUUUGUUUCCCCGGGACACUGAGAUGUACUUGGCUCUUAUUGUUGUUGUUUUCUUGACGAUGGUCUGAACGUCCCUCUGAUACCGAGCAGCUCUUAUGACGUGAGAGAAGGCACAAGCUCUUUGUUCCGUCUGUCGAUCUUUUCCAAGAGUACGAUGUUUAACUAUUUAUAUAUACACCAAUGUUUUCAUGACAGCUGGGUCUUUAAAUCACAGGUAAAAUAAGGAUUAAAUAAAAUCGACACACAUCAAAUUCACAGAUGCAAGACAAACUUAAUUGACCUCUAAAUGUAGAUUAUACUCGACGUUCUCGUCGUGAACCAACAAACACAGAAAAGCUGCUUCCUGAACGAGUGGUCGACUCGUUUUCUCAAGUCUGACUCAGCAUUUUAUCCAGAAUAAGGCAGAAAGUACAUUCACGUCUGUUUUUAUAGAAGAAUAAAAACAGACCUGGACAAAGAGUCCAAAGAGAAACGAAGACAGAGGAGACGCAGCCGCUGACGCUCUGCACGUUGCUUAUGAUUAAUAAUCCCAUGAUAAGAUGAAUCUCGUUCCUGUGUCUCUGAACUGGUUCAUUAUUCAGCUGCUGAGGCUCCGAGUUUCCAGCCUCUGAUAGUUUCUACUCAGCAGAAAAACUGUAUUUAUUUGCCAAAGGUUUAAUUUAAUUCUCUAGACAAUUUCGGCCGAGAAAAACUUCCAGGAAAUGAUCUGAAAAAUACAGGACGUGUGAAUCAAAGCUUUAACUGCUUGUUAAUAAACUUCGAACCUGUUUGUAGAUAUUCAUAUUGUUUUUAAGGUCAUUAGGACUCGAGGUAAUCUGUCUAUAUGGAUCUAUGUGUUUUUGAAUCAAUGAGAAAAGGUUUAAAUUGGUCUCAUGUUCACAUACUAACUCUUCUCUCUGUAAAUUCUGAUUUGUGAAUUAAAACAUGCUUUCUUACAUCUUUACUAA
This is a long non-coding RNA of Hippoglossus stenolepis (Pacific halibut), 3637 nucleotides long. RefSeq lists it as uncharacterized. The record is from RefSeq and is a predicted model, not a curated record. The transcript has 2 exons. NCBI's taxonomy places the organism in Eukaryota, Metazoa, Chordata, Actinopteri, Pleuronectiformes, Pleuronectidae.